UACGGAGGGUGCGAGCGUUAAUCGGAAUUACUGGGCGUAAAGGGCGCGUAGGCGGUUUGGUUAGUCAGAUGUGAAAGCCCAGGGCUUAACCUUGGAAUUGCAUUUGAUACUGCCAGGCUCGAGUGUGGUAGAGGGAAGCGGAAUUCCGGGUGUAGCGGUGAAAUGCGUAGAUAUCCGGAGGAACACCAGUGGCGAAGGCGGCUUCCUGGACCAACACUGACGCUGAGGCGCGAAAGCGUGGGGAGCAAAC
Molecule: ribosomal RNA, 250 nt
Filed under: uncultured bacterium
Lineage: Bacteria
Description: partial 16S ribosomal RNA
Rfam family: Bacterial small subunit ribosomal RNA
Source: RNAcentral